Molecule: small RNA, 28 nt
Filed under: Bombyx mori (domestic silkworm)
Lineage: Eukaryota; Metazoa; Arthropoda; Insecta; Lepidoptera; Bombycidae
Description: ovarian small RNA-16966
Source: RNAcentral
GCGGUGUCCGGAUACUCUCUGCGGACCU